AUUGAACGCUGGCGGAAUGCUUUACACAUGCAAGUCGAACGGUAGAGGGGGCAACCCCUCGAGAGUGGCGAACGGGUGAGUAAUAUAUCGGAACGUGCCCAGUCGUGGGGAUAACGUAGCGAAAGUUACGCUAAUACCGCAUACGAUCUAAGGAUGAAAGCGGGGGAUCGCAAGACCUCGCGCGAUUGGAGCGGCCGAUAUCAGAUUAGGUAGUUGGUGGGGUAAAGGCUCACCAAGCCAACGAUCUGUAGCUGGUCUGAGAGGACGACCAGCCACACUGGAACUGAGACACGGUCCAGACUCCUACGGGAGGCAGCAGUGGGGAAUUUUGGACAAUGGACGCAAGUCUGAUCCAGCCAUUCCGCGUGCAGGAUGAAGGCCCUCGGGUUGUAAACUGCUUUUGUACGGAACGAAAAGGUCUCUCUUAAUACGGGGGACUCACGACGGUACCGUAAGAAUAAGCACCGGCUAACUACGUGCCAGCCGCCGCGGUAA
Molecule: ribosomal RNA, 495 nt
Filed under: uncultured bacterium
Lineage: Bacteria
Description: partial 16S ribosomal RNA
Rfam family: Bacterial small subunit ribosomal RNA
Source: RNAcentral